CAAAAGCCUUGCUGUUCAUCAGUCCACGGUAAGACGAAUUGUCUAUAAAUGGAGAAAGUUCAGCACUGCUGCUACUCUCCCUAGGAGUGGCCUCCUGUAAAGAUGACUGCAAGAGCACAGCACAGACUGCUCAAUGAGGUGAAGAAGAAUCCUAGAGUGUCAGCUAAAGACAUCCCUGUUAGCGAAUCUUUAAUACGUUAAACACUAAACAAGAAUGGAUUUCAUGGGAGGAUACCACAGAGGAAGCCACUGCUGUCCAAACAAAACAUUGCUGCAUGUUUACAGUUUGUACAAGAGCACCUGGAUGUUCCACAGCAGUACUAUGUGUGGACGGAUUGCUAUCAUCGAAGGAAAAAUGAAUUCCCACGUUUAUCAAGACAUUUUGCAGGAGAACUUAAGGCCAUCUGUCUACCAGCUGAAGCUCAACAGAAGAUGGGUGUUGCAACAGGACAAUGACACAAAGCAUAGAAUUAAAUCAACAACAGAAUGGCUUAAACAGAAGAAAAUACGCCUUCUGAAGUGGCCCAGUCAGAGUCCUGACCUCAACCCGAUUGAGAUGCUGUGACCUCAAGAAAGCGAUUCACGCC
Molecule: non-coding RNA, 587 nt
Organism: Pelobates cultripes (western spadefoot toad)
Lineage: Eukaryota; Metazoa; Chordata; Amphibia; Anura; Pelobatidae
Source: the annotation of a GenBank genome assembly